GAUGAACGCUGGCGGCGUGCCUAUCCCUGCAAGUCGCGCGCACGGACGAGAAGCUUGCUUCUCUGAUGUUAGCGGCGGACGGGUGAGUAACACGUGGAUAACCUACCUAUAAGACUGGGAUAACUUCGGGAAACCGGAGCUAAUACCGGAUAAUAUUUUGAACCGCAUGGUUCAAAAGUGAAAGACGGUCUUGCUGUCACUUAUAGAUGGAUCCGCGCUGCAUUAGCUAGUUGGUAAGGUAACGGCUUACCAAGGCAACGAUGCAUAGCCGACCUGAGAGGGUGAUCGGCCACACUGGAACUGAGACACGGUCCAGACUCCUACGGGAGGCAGCAGUAGGGAAUCUUCCGCAAUGGGCGAAAGCCUGACGGAGCAACGCCGCGUGAGUGAUGAAGGUCUUCGGAUCGUAAAACUCUGUUAUUAGGGAAGAACAUAUGUGUAAGUAACUGUGCACAUCUUGACGGUACCUAAUCAGAAAGCCACGGCUAACUACGUG
Molecule: ribosomal RNA, 496 nt
Filed under: uncultured bacterium
Lineage: Bacteria
Description: partial 16S ribosomal RNA
Rfam family: Bacterial small subunit ribosomal RNA
Source: RNAcentral